This 330-nucleotide ribosomal RNA is filed under the name uncultured Actinomycetes bacterium. Its description in RNAcentral is "bacterial SSU rRNA". It matches the Rfam family "Bacterial small subunit ribosomal RNA", at positions 28 to 351 of the family's 1533-position model. The record is from RNAcentral. Lineage: Bacteria; Bacillati; Actinomycetota; Actinomycetes.
GACGAACGCUGGCGGCGUGCCUAACACAUGCAAGUUGAGCGACGAACCAGGGCUUGCCCUGGGGCAAAGCAGCGAACGGGUGAGUAACACGUGGAUAACGUACCCCGAUAACCGGGACAACCCGAGGAAACUCGAGCUAAUACCGGAUGUUCUUACUACACAUCAGUGAAGUAAGUAAAGGAAGCUUCGGCCUCCGUAUUGGGAGCGGUCCGCGGCCCAUUAGCUAGUUGGUGAGGUAACGGCUCACCAAGGCAACGAUGGGUAGCUGGUCUGAGAGGACGAUCAGCCACACUGGGACUGAGACACGGCCCAGACACCUACGGGUGGCAG